ACUGUUGACGUCCUAGAUCAUGUGGUUUGUUUUCUUGAUACCUGAUAUAUAGCAUGACAAGGAAUGUGUUCACAUACCCCGUGUGCUAGUGUGGAAGCAAUGAUUGAUGUUGCCAUUUAAGGGCAUAUGAAUGCAGGGAAGACUGUUUCCUAAUACAUUCUGUGUCCAUUUCUGCCUUCAACAAAGCAAGCCACUCUGAAAAAUGGAACCCGGGUGGACAUCUGUGACAGCCUGGAUCCCUGUUACAUUGCAUUCAGCGACAUUUUUUCCCUACUGAGGACACAUGGCUAAUGAGACCUUGCUGUGGCCUUCACAAUCAUUGCAGCUGCCCUCUGGCCCGUGGUCAUCUUUUCAGCCAAAGAGAACUUCCAGUAAUGAGGAAGGCAAAUGUUACUAUGUGUGUACCAGCUAUUAACAAAUUUGUUCAACAAGCAUUUCUUAACUGCCUAUCAAGUAUAGUUUCAAGUAGUACAUGCUUUAUGUAUGACAAUGGAGCCAUAAAUUUCAAGAUGGAGAACAUUAGGUACAGCACUGUUGCAGGGUAAUAAUGUGUCUCUUUCUACAUUUUAACUAAUUACAGAAAAUAUUAAACUAUUUGAAAUCUA
Molecule: non-coding RNA, 605 nt
Organism: Rattus norvegicus (Norway rat)
Lineage: Eukaryota; Metazoa; Chordata; Mammalia; Rodentia; Muridae
Source: RefSeq, a predicted model, not a curated record